RNAcentral lists this unclassified non-coding RNA (211 nucleotides) under plant metagenome. Its description in RNAcentral is "partial contains small subunit ribosomal RNA, internal transcribed spacer 1, and 5.8S ribosomal RNA". The record is from RNAcentral.
UUUCCGUAGGUGAACCUGCGGAAGGAUCAUUCAUAAUAAAGUGUUUUAUGGCACUUUUUAAAAAUCCAUAUCCACCUUGUGUGCAAUGUUAGAUCUCGUCAAUCUUGGCGAGAUUUUUAUACAUCAACUCAUUCUUUAACUAAUUUGUUUGAAAAAUAUUAUGAAUACUUAAUUCAAAAUACAACUUUCAACAACGGAUCUCUUGGCUCUC